GAGAAAACUCGCAAGGAUUGCUAACCCACGCUCCCGUACCUAAAACUACGGUUUUCUCA
This 59-nucleotide transfer RNA is filed under the name Cercopithecus mona (Mona monkey). RNAcentral describes it as "tRNA-Ser". Lineage: Eukaryota; Metazoa; Chordata; Mammalia; Primates; Cercopithecidae. RNAcentral also lists the same sequence under 2 other names. The record is from RNAcentral.